This is a long non-coding RNA of Podarcis raffonei (Aeolian wall lizard), 2201 nucleotides long. RefSeq lists it as uncharacterized. The record is from RefSeq and is a predicted model, not a curated record. The transcript has 3 exons. NCBI's taxonomy places the organism in Eukaryota, Metazoa, Chordata, Lepidosauria, Squamata, Lacertidae.
GGCUGCUCCUCCUCCCCACGCGCUGCACGUCUUAAAUUGCGAGCCUUAAAAUAGCGAGGGGUUUGCACGGCAUGGAGAAACUGCAGCGAUUGGUUGUUUAGCUUGCCAUUCGCACUGGCGCUGCCUGAUUGCCUGUGGAGCUGGAGUAAGCGUUGUACGCCCGCCCUGCUCCAGGGAUAAAAGGAGGGAAGGCAGAGCGCGCUAGCCGGUGAGGCUCCACGAGGUUCAUCUUGGUUGGUGUGCGACCGACCCUGGUGCCUUUUUGCUGCCUGUCUGAGGCUGGCGCAGGGCUUUAUGCUGGGAUGGAGUCCCUCCCAGUAAUAAGAAUAAGGAAAUAAGUCACCUUCAAAAUAUCCUCUUGAGAGAACAAAGGAGCAGCUGCAGGCCAGUCAGAGCUCAGCUGGCAAGGAGUUGCCUACUAGAAAAAUUAACCAAUAAACUGAAACUGACACGGGGACAAACAGAAGAUGCCUUUAUCACAUACACAGCCCAACAAGACAAUGACAAUAAUCCACCAACAGCAUACAAAUCAAUAUGGCUAACCUGAUCCAAAACACCCACCCACCCCACUCACACGAAAACAAAGAUCACCACAGCCAAACACAAACAAACAACCACACCCUAGGCCAACCCCAACCUCUCUCAGCACCAAAGGAACACAAGUGAACAGCACAAGCAACGCUGACACCAAACCCUAUAUACAUUAAGCAUAAUAGAAACAUCGCCACCCACCCCCACCCAUCUUCCCUCCCUCCACCCCCUUUUUUCCCCUCUCACCCUAAUGUCUCAACAAAUGAAACGGAUUUGUAAAAAUGUUACAUGGAAAAAAUACGAGAGACAUUACACUUACUUCUGUAAAACAAGAAAAUCUUUAAUAAAAAAGAAAAAGCUGGCAAGGAGCUGGAGGGCAGCACAGCACAGAUGCCUCCAACAAGGAAAACAGAGAAACCUUCCCUCGUGCAGUGCAGUUCUUCACUUCUGAAAGUGGAGUCAUGAACAAGAUGAUUGAUUUCAUUGAGAAUCCCAAAGGAUUGUGGAUUGCAUACUGCACACUUUAAGAAAACUGGGAUUGCUCAAUGUAAACUUCAGUAUUCACAGUUUGGUCUACACAGUGUUGAAGAAGAAGAAACAGAAACAGAAGAAGAAACAACCCUUUGUUGGUACCGCAAGGCUCAUAUUGUGCAUAACAUGGCUUUCAGUUGAACCAUGUCUCUGCUCCUGCUUCAUUAGGCUUGUUGAGGAUUUUCCCAGACUACUCCUCACUAGCUGAAGCUAGACAUUAAUGCAGAAGUGCAGGAUGAGGAAGACAGUUAUGUUGUGGAGGUUUAUCUCCUUUUUUGCAAUCACAUUUUUUGUCCCUCGUUGUAGAUACUGUUAAGCUUGAGGCCAAUAACACCACCUGCAUAGAGCUAUGCUAUUUUGUAUUCCUUUAGAGCCAAACUGGCACAGAGAUGUGAUGAACAGUUUGUUGGAGACCUGACCAAAGUCAAGCUGCAGCGCCUUUCUCCAGUUGAUGCAAACAGGGCAAUGGGAGAAUUCAUUUUAUUCAUUGAGACUGCCAUUGCAUUGAGAAAUGGUUUGCUUUUUCAAAUUGCAACUGGCUUUUCUGCCUCCAGCCCCUCUCCCUCAAAGAUGGCAAGUUCAUCUACAGACACAUUGAAAAGGUCUAUGAAAAUCUCAGCUUCACUACCAGAGUGGACAUGGAUAAGCUGUAUGAUGAAAGUGUAACAGCCAACUGCAUUCUGGAGCAACUUUUAAAGGCUGCUCAGUGAAAGAACAAAGUUGUGGCUGCAAAGUGGAUGGCUAUAUUUACAGCAUGUGAUCUACCCACUUUGCCCUGUGGAGUGGAUUUCCUCCAUGAUGUUGAACAAAUGGAGUAAUGUUCAGAACUGGUGCUCUGUGGAACUGAUAAAAAGUGAGAUCCUGAUUUCUCUGAACUUUGAACUGCCAUGUGCCGAAUUCCACUCUUAUUUUGAAGGACAAAGCACUGCUAAAUGCAGCAAGGAGUGACAGUAGUCAUGGAAGGUGAAGUGGAGAGAAAGACAGACUAUUGUCUCAAAACAGAGGGACUUCUGUGGCCCUUUCCACAGAAAUAAAGAUAUUAAACACCAUGUUGAGUUGCUUCAUGUUGGUUUGUGUCAAACCAAUUACAAAUCAUAAAGCUUUUGUUUUUCUCCAUUGAAUAAAGCACUGUGUGCCAU